CCUACGGGGGGCAGCAGUGGGGAAUAUUGGACAAUGGGGGCAACCCUGAUCCAGCCAUGCCGCGUGUGUGAAGAAGGCCCUCGGGUUGUAAAGCACUUUCAGUGAGGAAGAACGCCUGGUGGUUAAUACCCAUCAGGAAAGACAUCACUCACAGAAGAAGCACCGGCUAACUCCGUGCCAGCAGCCGCGGUAAUACGGAGGGUGCGAGCGUUAAUCGGCAUUACUGGGCGUAAAGCGCGCGUAGGUGGCUUGAUAAGCCGGUUGUGAAAGCCCCGGGCUCAACCUGGGAACGGCAUCCGGAACUGUCAAGCUAGAGUGCAGGAGAGGAAGGUAGAAUUCCCGGUGUAGCGGUGAAAUGCGUAGAGAUCGGGAGGAAUACCAGUGGCGAAGGCGGCCUUCUGGACUGACACUGACACUGAGGUGCGAAAGCGUGGGUAGCAAACAGGAUUAGAUACCCGUGUAGUC
This 465-nucleotide ribosomal RNA is filed under the name Vreelandella stevensii. RNAcentral's name for it is "partial 16S ribosomal RNA". It matches the Rfam family "Bacterial small subunit ribosomal RNA", at positions 338 to 795 of the family's 1533-position model. The record is from RNAcentral. Lineage: Bacteria; Pseudomonadati; Pseudomonadota; Gammaproteobacteria; Oceanospirillales; Halomonadaceae.